This 315-nucleotide long non-coding RNA is filed under the name Cyanistes caeruleus (blue tit). Its description in RNAcentral is "lncRNA (ENSCCEG00000005249.1)". The record is from RNAcentral. Lineage: Eukaryota; Metazoa; Chordata; Aves; Passeriformes; Paridae.
AGUUACUCUUGACUUCCUCUUAAACUCAUUAAAAUGUGGAGAGUAAGGAUCACGCUUAGGCAAUCUGUCCUUUGGCCUGCUGGUUUGUUAGGGAACUUCUCUGAGGCUGUCUGCUCUGUACAGAAGCUGAAAUACCGGCCAAGGGCUUUGCUCGAGCUGCCAGGCACAGAUUGGUUGAGCAACCACAGCUGCCAAACAAUGACAUUAAGUCAGCUGGAAUUGCUGCUCAAGGAGAAAAGUAUGCUGACCAGGGUAAUAACAGAUACCACAUGCAGGGGUAGUAAUUAAUUUCAGGUAAGUAGAUGGUGUUCUUGA